Molecule: ribosomal RNA, 466 nt
Filed under: uncultured bacterium
Lineage: Bacteria
Description: partial 16S ribosomal RNA
Rfam family: Bacterial small subunit ribosomal RNA
Source: RNAcentral
GAUGAAUGCUGGCGGCGUGCCUAACACAUGCAAGUCGAGCGGUAACAGGAGUAGUUUACUACUUGCUGACGAGCGGCGGACGGCUGAGUAACGCGUGGGAACAUGCCCCAAAGUGAGGGAUAAGCUCCAGAAAUGGAGUCUAAUACCGCAUAUGAUCUUCGGAUUAAAGGAUUUAUCCGCUUUGGGAGUGGCCUGCGUACGAUUAGAUAGUUGGUGAGGUAAUGGCUCACCAAGUCGACGAUCGUUAACUGGUCUGAGAGGAUGAUCAGUCAGACUGGAACUGAGACACGGUCCAGACUCCUACGGGAGGCAGCAGUGAGGAAUCUUCCACAAUGGGGGCAACCCUGAUGGAGCAACGCCGCGUGCAGGAUGAAGGCCUUCAGGUCGUACACUGCUUUUAUAAGUGAAGAAUAUGACGGUAACUUAUGAAUAAGCACCGGCUAACUACGUGCCAGCCGCCGCCGUA